CUAAAUGUUAGCUAAUUUAUUAUUUGAGUAAUAGUGUUGUGGGAUAAAAUGUAUUAUGCUAAUUGGAGGAUCGAUCUUAUUAAUGAUAGGUCUUUUAUAAGAGAUUAAACUGAUUGCUUAGCGGUAAUCAACGGUACAUGCAAGUUCCUAAACUUGAACUUCUAAUUAUUGUGCAAGUUUCCUAACUCAACUUGAGUUAAUUCGAAGCAUGUUAGUGAUUAAUUAUUGUUGAUUAUACCACGUCAAUAAUUUAUUGAUUCGCACAUUGUGUAUGUUGUUUAUGUUCAUCAGGUAUGAAAGGCUGAUCACCUUCAUUACCAUAGGUUUCAGUUAAACUUGUUCAUGUUAAUUGUUGACAUCCAAUAACAUUGGUUCAGUCAUUCAAUCAUUGAAACUUGAUUCGUGUUAUUUCACAAUUAUUAUAUUGUUGAAAACUUGAAAGCUUAUCCAUUCUUUUCAAUCAUGAUAUAUCUCCUUUGUAUGUAAAACUUGCUGGGCA
RNAcentral lists this long non-coding RNA (499 nucleotides) under Panax ginseng (ginseng). RNAcentral's name for it is "long non-coding RNA (PGIN_LNC010424)". Lineage: Eukaryota; Viridiplantae; Streptophyta; Magnoliopsida; Apiales; Araliaceae. The record is from RNAcentral.